UACGUAGGGUGCGAGCGUUGUCCGGAAUUAUUGGGCGUAAAGGGCUCGUAGGCGGUUUGUCGCGUCGGGAGUGAAAACUCAGGGCUUAACCCUGAGCCUGCUUCCGAUACGGGCAGACUAGAGGUAUGCAGGGGAGAAUGGAAUUCCUGGUGUAGCGGUGAAAUGCGCAGAUAUCAGGAGGAACACCGGUGGCGAAGGCGGGUCUCUGGGCCGAUACUGACGCUGAGGAGCGAAAGCGUGGGGAGCGAACAGG
This 253-nucleotide ribosomal RNA is filed under the name uncultured bacterium. Its description in RNAcentral is "partial 16S ribosomal RNA". It matches the Rfam family "Bacterial small subunit ribosomal RNA", at positions 524 to 776 of the family's 1533-position model. The record is from RNAcentral.